This is a long non-coding RNA of Xiphophorus couchianus (Monterrey platyfish), 1626 nucleotides long. RefSeq lists it as uncharacterized. Lineage: Eukaryota; Metazoa; Chordata; Actinopteri; Cyprinodontiformes; Poeciliidae. The transcript is spliced from 2 exons. The record is from RefSeq and is a predicted model, not a curated record.
CGUAACAGAGCCUAUGGGUUUGACGGAAGUGCUGCCAAGAGAACCGACUACAGAUGAUACUACGGAUGUUUGCAACAUCUGCCACUGUCUGUUCAGGUGAUGAGAAAAAAAAAUGCCAAGAAGAAGUGGCGUGAGUGGCGACGUUGCAACACAUGUGAGCAGUGGUCACACCUGGCAGGUGGAUUCAAGAAAAACUUGUGUCGUCAUUGUCAGACUCCCAGAAGUUGAGCCUUGUUAUGUCUUUCAGAGCGAAGGUGAAACAUUAACAUGUUUAACGUUGAAAAAUUGUCUUAUAGUACUACUUGGUUCUUUGCUGGAAUAAUGACAUGGUGUCUCACUGUCCAAAAUGUUCAAAUCUGUAUGUUCGAAGAAACUGUCUAACAUAUGAUAGAAGUAGUUUUUGGCUUUUUAUAGCCAUGGAUCUCCAUUGUGCAACAUCUUCAGGUCUGUGAAAUCAUUCACUUCUGUUUUCAGCAAAAAUGUAAAACAAGCUUUUAUUGGAGAUGUAUUUUUUUGUUGUGCUAUCUGUCAUUAAACAUGUUUUUUUCAAAAUGUAUUAUGUAUCACUGGGACUGCAAAAAAGACACUUCUAAUUUGGUCACAGUUGUGACAUCUGUUUAUCCGAAAGCUGUCAAUGUUAGCAUUUCCUGUAGUUUGUCUUAAACAAUUGAUAAAUGUACAAUGCAUCAAUAAAAGCUUUUGUAUUGAAAAGAUAUUCUGUCAAAUGUGAGUGCUUUAAAUAGUAACAAACAUUUGGGUAUCAAACGAACACAUCAGUGAGCAUGUUAGCUGAACUCAUUACUAUUGCACUUGAAAAAUUUCCACAUGGUAGCACAGAUAAUACCCUUUAGCAAAAGAAUGAGUAAGAUCUUUCCUUUUACAUAAACAAAUUGACCAGGUUAGAAGACGACACGUUCAGGUAAAGGCACUUUCUCCCUUCGCGAAAUCGUUAGGACAGGCAUGUUGAUAGGAUACAGCUGGAGAAGAUCCCAGUGUGGGAUGCAGUAGUUCCACAACGUCACAUGUUACUAUUGGUUAUCAAUGGGUGACACGCCACGUGACCAGUUACACACUUUUUGCCGCUUAAUGAAAACUAUUAAUACGAUUUGACAUUAGGAUUUCAUUCUGUCUGAUAAUUUCAAUUUAUGACUGGAAAAUGUAAUUUACUUACUUUAACAGAAUUUGCUACCCACUCAGACUGGUGAGUUCAAUCAUGACAUCGCCCCGUGUGUCAAUGAUGGGGCGCAUUCCAUUUCAAACAUUGAACGUGUGCCGCAACAAUAAGACCCUGUGAGUUGUACGUGCGAGGCUGUUAUAAAGUAAUGUAUAUGGUCAUUGAGAGUGUAACUGUAGUGUGUAGUGUAUUAAACUAUGAUCAGGGCUUCACUUUUUUCUCAUAUUUAGUUUAGCUGCACUAUUACAGGUAGUAUGUGUUAACAAGGAGAAGCUGUAUGGGAGAGUGAUGCAAAAGAAGCCUUUUCAGCAAUUACGCCUCAAACAGAGCCGCUUGAGGUCUGCAAAAGCACAUUUGGACGAGCCAGCUUCAUUUUGGAAUAAGGUCCUGUGGACUGAAGAAACAAAGAUUGAGUUGUUUGGUCAUAAAAAAGGCAUUAUGCAUGGCGGGGG